GCCUGGUUAGCUCAGUCGGUAGAGCAUCAGACUUUUAAUCUGAGGGUCAAGGGUUCGAGUCCCUUAUCGGGCG
Molecule: transfer RNA, 73 nt
Filed under: Actinia tenebrosa (Australian red waratah sea anemone)
Lineage: Eukaryota; Metazoa; Cnidaria; Anthozoa; Actiniaria; Actiniidae
Also listed under: 2 other names
Description: tRNA-Lys
Rfam family: tRNA
About the family: Transfer RNA (tRNA) molecules are approximately 80 nucleotides in length.
Source: Rfam by way of RNAcentral